Molecule: ribosomal RNA, 253 nt
Filed under: uncultured prokaryote
Description: partial 16S ribosomal RNA
Rfam family: Bacterial small subunit ribosomal RNA
Source: RNAcentral
ACGGAGGGGGCUAGCGUUGUUCGGAAUUACUGGGCGUAAAGUGUGCGCAGGCCGCCGAGCAAGUCGAGUGUGAAAGCCCCGAGCUUAACUUGGGAACUGCGCUCGAAACUACUUGGCUAGAGUGUGGCAGAGGGAGGUGGAAUUCCACGUGUAGCGGUGAAAUGCGUAGAGAUGUGGAGGAACACCGAUGGCGAAGGCAGCCUCCUGGGUCAACACUGACGCUCAUGCACGAAAGCGUGGGGAGCAAACAGGA